This 484-nucleotide ribosomal RNA is filed under the name uncultured bacterium. Its description in RNAcentral is "partial 16S ribosomal RNA". It matches the Rfam family "Bacterial small subunit ribosomal RNA", at positions 30 to 507 of the family's 1533-position model. The record is from RNAcentral.
AUUGAACGCUCGCGGGAUGCCUUACACAUGCAAGUCGAACGGCAGCACGGACUUCGGUCUGGUGGCGAGUGGCGAACGGGUGAGUAAUGUAUCGGAACGUGCCCAGUAGCGGGGGAUAACUACGCGAAAGCGUAGCUAAUACCGCAUACGCCCUACGGGGGAAAGCAGGGGAUCGCAAGACCUUGCACUAUUGGAGCGGCCGAUAUCGGAUUAGCUAGUUGGUGGGGUAACGGCUCACCAAGGCGACGAUCCGUAGCUGGUUUGAGAGGACGACCAGCCACACUGGGACUGAGACACGGCCCAGACUCCUACGGGAGGCAGCAGUGGGGAAUUUUGGACAAUGGGGGAAACCCUGAUCCAGCCAUCCCGCGUGUGCGAUGAAGGCCUUCGGGUUGUAAAGCACUUUUGGCAGGAAAGAAACGUCGCGGGUUAAUACCCCGCGAAACUGACGGUACCUGCAGAAUAAGCACCGGCUAACUACGUG